UGCCAUGCAAAUUAAUAAGCCAAAUUUUAGUUAUAACCUCAUUACAUGUAUACAAAUAUAUUAAUUAAUUAAUUGAACUCAACUUGGCAAUUGAUUCAACUAGUGAAUCUAAAUGUCUUGCACUUUGCUAACAAAGACAUAUAUAUUAUGAGAUUAAUUAUUUGCAACAUUACAUAAAUUCAAACAUUGAUAGAUUUUGAGUUAAGUACUACCAGAGAAACGGAAUCACGAGCUGCAAGAGCAAGGAUAUCAGCACAAGACACAACACCGGGGCACGCAGCCUCGAGCUGUGUCUUUGCAUUAUCAAUAACCUCAAAUCCUCGUAAACCAAGGUUUGCAAAUGCUGUUCUCUCAGUUCCAUCACCGGCAAUGAGAACAGAAGCAUCGCAACCUUGCACAAAGCAAUCAUGGAAGUGCAUCCGAAGCAACCCAGCAGCCAAGGUAGGAUCAGACCUAACGUGGGAUUGAACUGUGGACCUAACAAUGAACUCAGCCCGUGGGCAUGUACUCGAAUAGAACCCUACACGCGUCCCUUGCCCAUGCACUGUGUUCACAAUGGCCAGAGCAAGCACAAGAAACACUAGUGAGUACAAACUCUGUCCCUCCAUUUUUGUGAGGAAAUUAACAGUUGUAAAUGUAAUGGAUAAUAUUUGUUUAGGCACUUAGUGAGAGAGUGUGCGAUGAGGAGGAGGAGGUAUUUAUAAGUGUGGUUUAGUCAACUUUUGGGUAUCUCAAAAAAACAAAAGUCAACUUUUGGAGAAAGAGUAAGCAAAGCCGGCUACAUGCAAUGCAAGUGUAUUGAAAUGAUGAUAUGGCUAAGGGUUCACAUACAUAUGAAACCGAGCUCACGGGUUUUGUCUUGUGCCGAGGCACGGUCUACUGUGAUGCAGCUGGUGCAAAUAAAAAUGAUACCGCGUGAGAGUGUGUAUUUAGUCAAAGUUUUCCAUUUUGGUGACCACCACACCAAAAAGUAGAGCUUUAUGCGGGAAAGCUCAAUCCUCUACUGAACAAAAUUUGUCGACACUGAACUCUGGUAGACUCAAAAGAUAUAAGGAAAAGAAGAAAUAUAUAAUAUAAAUAUAAUAAAUUAUAUAUUUUUUAGAAGCUAAACUGAAUAUUUUUGUGAAAAAUUGACCAGAUUUCAACGCAACAAUUAAGAUGUAGUAAAAUCUACACUCAAAAGAUAUUACAUUUGGCAAUUGAAAGUCGAUGUCAAGACUAAUUUGUAAACAUCUUCCAACCUUAAUUUACUAAGUGUCCUUUAGUAAGAAUAGAGUCCGAAUGAUCAUUGAGCACUAGAUAAUAUCUCCCAAAUGAGGUGAUUUUAAAGAGGUUUAAGAGUUUGAGGUCAAAAUAUUGAUGCUAGUAAAAGGAUGAAUAAAAAUAUAAUUAAGUUAAAUAGACUUAUUUUAAAAAGUCAACUAAUUUUUUUAAUAAUAUAUAUUUGUUUGCAACCUUUACCAUUUCUGUAGGCCUGCCCCAAAGAUUCAAUUGUGUCAGCUGACAACCAGUUGAAUAUUUUGACUAAAUAUAAACCAAAAACUAGUUGAUUGUAAACACAAUAAUUUCUUUAUUGAUAACUGAUAAGAUAGAUAGUUUCACUAAGAAAUGGGGUUCAUUUCCUAGAUAUGAUCAGUUCCCAUACUAUUAAAAGCGUUUAAACAUGCAAUUUGACUAAAUUUGUGGUGAAAUGUGAUUGUAAGUAGUGGACAAUUUUUUAAAAUUUUGCAUCAUAAAAAAUAGUAAGAAAUUAAUAGUUUUACUCAUAUUAUUUAAAAUCAAAAUUUUAAUAAAUUAAUAUUGUUUUAAAUUAUUAAUUUUUUGAAAAAAGUAGAAUUAAGUUAAAUAAUUUAUAUUGUUUAAAAUCAAUUUUUUUAAUAUUUUAUUAAUAAUUGGAUGCAAGCAUACAAUGGAAAUCAACAUAUCUAUAAAAGUAACGUAAAAUAAUUAAUAUUGCAUUCCCAUAGUAACGUAAAAUAAUUAAUAUUGCAUUCCCAUAGUACACAUAUGACAUUGUCUUAGAUUGAAACUUCUAAGCAAUUGUCUAUUUUCAUCCGUUAUUUCCGUUUCGUGCUUAUUCUCAUCAAUCAGGUAAUCAUAUCAACAACUUGUAUUUACUCUCCCACAAUGAAAAGAUCCAACUCGUCAUAUUUUAGGUUGGCCAAUAUGAAAUUUUCUCAUUCUAUAGUAUUAGUUAUAAUUAAUGCAAAUGUUAGUUGAGAAAACCGCUAAAGAAAACUGUGGACAAGUUGUGUGAUACUGUAGCUUUAAUAUCUACAUCACACAUAUUACAGCUAGCUUUCAAUUUAUUGUAGACAAAUUCAAUGACUGAAGCUGCUAUAUAAUGGAAAGGGCUCAUCGAAUAUAAUAUAACAUCAAUGGAUACAGCCAACAGAUAACUUACAUCUCAAUAAAAGCCAAAAUAUCUAUAUAGAAAAUUAGCAGGGGAAAAAAUGUUAAAAUGAUGAGAAAAAUAAAAUAAAGGCUUGAUGUGUUUGAAUUAGUAUUUUUCAGUUUUUUUUAAUUAAACGCCUUUUUUUGUAAAUAUUAUUGAAAAAAGUGAUUAUUUAAAAAAGUAUUAAUUUCAAACAUGUUUCAUUAAUUUAGAUAUCAAUAUAUUAAGGUCUCAAGUCGCAACGUAUGCGGUUAAUUUGUUUUAACAUUAUUUUAUCAGCAAUUCCCUUGAGAUUUAUAGUUUUCGCUAAUCUGAAUUCUCACCCCCCACAUUUUUACAGAUUAGGAUUUGAACCCGGCAGUUUACAAUAUAUCAAAACUCGAUUAUGCAAUACACACUACUCAUGUAUACAUCUUCCACAACAUGAAUAAAUAUUUUAAAUUUACAAAAUUGUCAAUCACAAUAUCAAAAUUAAAUUAUUUUCUUUAUCACCAUAUUAUAUUGAUGCAAAGUAUCUCCGACACAUGUUGACGUUGAUAAAUUAAUUCAUCAUUCUAUGUAAACUCAAAAAAAUUAAUAUAUGGGUAAUUCAAUUAAUAAUUAAAAACUAUUUGUUUCUCUAAAAAAAUUUAAUAUUUAAUUUAAUCAAUAAUUGAGUAAAUUGAUUUGAUGUUAUUUAGAAAAGGAUUAUUAUGUUGAACAAAAUUUAAUAUUUAUUCUGUAACUUGUACACUUUCAAGAUGAAAAUAUUUCGUCUGGCCAGACAAAAGAAGCAAAUUGUAUAUGAUACACUUCACUGGCAAAUGCCAACAGAGAAACAGUUCUAGAAGCAAUUUAAUUAUUAAUUGUUUGAAGUGGCUAUAUAUCUAGUUGAUGGCAGAACAUAUCUUGCGAAUUUCACCAUCGGUACCGGUUUUCAACUCAAUGUUGCCCAUUUUCACCAUAGACUUCCCAAAUUCCACGUUGAAUGUUAAUCCAAGUAACCCUCUUAUUAAGCCCAAGUACCUCUGAACAGUUGUCUUUGUGGAAGCAUCACUCCAUAGUGCUUGAUCAGAUUGCAGAAUUCCACGAGAAUUCCUCAAAUUACUAUAGUAAGAUAAAUCAAAUUUGGUUUGACUACCCGUAUCUAGCGCUACUCGUUUUGAACCGUCACCGUUUUGAGGGCAUAGUGAUUGUAGUUGGGAAAGAAAUGAAGGGUCGAUGGAAGGGUCAGGACCAUUCGCGGUGAAGUUGUACAAUCUGUUACUGAAGAACUGGCAAGCUGUAGUACCAAUGGUAUGUGCACCUAUAUAUAUACAUUAGUUAACAAAAAUAAAAUCCAUUAAUUCAACUUUGUAUUGUGAACCUGUAUCUUAGUUUCAUAUAACAUAUACUUUUGUUUUCAUAAAAGAUAUAGUCGUAUGAAGUUAAUUUUAGUGUUGAUUUUUCCACGGCACUUUUGUUUGUACCUUUUUAUAAUAUCCAUUGAAAAGCAUUGUUCAAUUUUUUUUCAAACACGUAUCCUUUUAAAAAAAUGUCAUAUCACUUGACAAUGAUAGAAAAUAAGAAAGAAAGAAGAUGUUAUUCUAAUGUGCGUUACAUAUAUAAGAAAGUGUAAUAAAAAGUGAAUAAGUCAACAAUUAUAUUAAAGUUAAUGUGAAGUCAUUCUAUUUGCAUUUUGCCACUACCUAUAGUUAGAACUGAGCUGUCACAAAGCAACCGUGAUAUAUACUAUGUGAAAAGUAUGAGUUCGAUUUGAAAUGAUGAUCAAUUCGAUCGUUGACUUGAAGUGUGUAAACAAACUUAUAUAUGUGUAAGUGUAAUUACCAACAAGGGUGACGAGGUCUUGAGUGUUGAGGCCCUUUGCUGUGAACUUUUGUUUCUGAACAUCAACAGAGUCAAAAGGAGCAGGCAAGUUACUCACGUCGGAAGCCUGUGAUAUGCGUCCAUCUCUGCGUCCAGUAAGCACUUGAUAACUCAGUCCACCACUCUGCCAUGCAAAAAUGCCAAAUUUUAAUUAAUUAUAAACACAUACGUACAUAUAUAUAUAUAUUAUAAGCACGACAUGAUGCAUACAAAUAUAUAUAUUGAACUCAUCAACUUGGCUAUAAUAUUAAUUAUUUGUAGUACAUAUAUAAAUUCAAAAUGGAUAGAAUUUGAGUGUUGAUGAAUUACCAGAACAACGGAAUCACGAGCAGCAAGAGCAAGGAUAUCAGCGCAAGACACAACACCGGGGCAUGCAGCCUCGAGCUGUUUCUUUGCAUCAUCAAUAACCUCAAAUCCUCGUAAACCAAGGUUUGCAAAUGCUGUUCUCUCAGUGCCAGAACCGGCAAUGAGAACAGAAGCGUCACAACCUUGCACAAAGCAAUCAUGGAAGUGCAUCCGAAGCAACCCAGCAGCCAAAGUACUAUCAGAAUUAACAUGGGUUGUAACUGUGGACUUAACAAUGGACUCAGCGCGUGGGCAUGUACUCGAAUAGAACCCUACACGCGUCCCUUGCCCAUGCACUUUGUUCAC
Molecule: long non-coding RNA, 4891 nt
Filed under: Glycine max (soybean)
Lineage: Eukaryota; Viridiplantae; Streptophyta; Magnoliopsida; Fabales; Fabaceae
Description: long non-coding RNA (GMAX_LNC003341)
Source: RNAcentral